Molecule: long non-coding RNA, 199 nt
Filed under: Physcomitrium patens
Lineage: Eukaryota; Viridiplantae; Streptophyta; Bryopsida; Funariales; Funariaceae
Description: long non-coding RNA (PPAT_LNC012259)
Source: RNAcentral
CCAUAGUAGUCAUAUUAUUUUCAAUAUUAUUAGAACUCCAUCAAAUCCUAUUAUUCUUGGUCUUUUCUGGUUGAAAAAGUAUAACCCAUCUAUAGAUUGGAGGUUGCGGAAGAUGACCUUUCCCACAAAACCAUCCAAGAGCAAGCCUAGUAGAAAACUCCGAAUAAAGAAAUCCUUAUUCAUUGGAGUAAGAGCGUUU